AUGGAAGAACAAAGGGGAGUCCUCCUCGCUGCGGAACAACAAAGCUCCACCGUCCGUCUCCUAGACGAAGACCCUCAAGUGAAGUUGCAAAUAGUCAGUGGCUUGGAGAACCCAGACUGGACACAAGAUACCUUCCGCAGACCUGAAAAGUUGUGCCUUAGAAGGAAGUUUGAGUGUGCAGUGAAAGUGAUAACUAAUGCAUUAUCAAAAUUCAGUGAUGACAUAAUAAAAGUGCACAAAGUUGUGUCCAUCAUCUAA
RNAcentral lists this ribosomal RNA (258 nucleotides) under Triticum aestivum (bread wheat). RNAcentral's name for it is "partial small subunit ribosomal RNA". Lineage: Eukaryota; Viridiplantae; Streptophyta; Magnoliopsida; Poales; Poaceae. The record is from RNAcentral.